This 1004-nucleotide long non-coding RNA is filed under the name Pan paniscus (pygmy chimpanzee). RNAcentral describes it as "lncRNA (ENSPPAG00000045533.1)". The record is from RNAcentral. Lineage: Eukaryota; Metazoa; Chordata; Mammalia; Primates; Hominidae.
AGAGGGGGAUGGUGGCUCUUCUGACAUCUCCAAGACCUCCAGGAAGUUCUGGGGGAGAGGGGGCUUUAGCUUCUUUUUUUUUUUCUUUUUUUUUUUUAAAGAUAGUCUCGCUCUGUCGCCCAGACUGGAGUGCAGUGGAGUGAUCUUGGCUCACUGCAACCUCCGCCUCUAGGGUUCAAGUGAUUCUCCUGCCUCAGCCUCUCAAGUAGCUGGGAUUACAGGCGCGUGCCACCACACCCGGCUAAUUUUAUAUUUUUAGUAAAGACAGGGUUUCACAAUGUCAGCCAGGCUGGUCUCGAACUCCUGACCUCAGGUGAUCCAUCCGCCAUGGCCUCCCAAAAUGCUGGGAUUACAGGGGUGAGCCACCACACCCAGCCACUUGGGCUGUUUCUUCCGUAAGGCUCUUCUGUAAGGGGUUUUACUCUGUACGAUUUUACUUUCCAGAUUGGCGAGAGACUGAGAAGGCAAGUUUGAGAUCCUGGAGAGAGAACCACUUUGAAGACGGUGAAUUCUGGAGGGAGCCUGGUCUGCAGAGGUGUGUGGCCUCGGUGGAUGGAACUGUUCCUACCUGUGCAUAGGAUUGACUGUUCUUCUUGCUCCUGGUUACUGGAGGCAGCCGCCUGCUGCUUCCCCCAUGGCAGACAUGUGGCUAGGGGUGCAAGUUGGAAGAGUGAGUGGGGCUGCCGCAGGCUUUGCCCAGGCUCCCCUGCACCUGCGGGAAGGCUUCUCCUUGGCGGGAAAAACAUGACACCCUGUUUCUCCACCAAGAUCCUGAUUUGACAUCCAUUGUUUGUUUCUAUGGAGAAAAUAAUUGGGAACAGAUGGCCUCUGAUGUCCUCUCCAGCAGUAUGGAUGGAGAUGUAAGUGUUUGAUUGCCUAUCCUCAAUGUAUUGCAGUGGGUAUGUGCUUGGACUCUGGAUUUCAAUGGUUGGGGUUCAAAUUCCAUCUUCUAGUUUCUUCUUGUGGCAUCUUGAGCAAUUUAACUUCUCUGUGCCUCAAUUUCU